GGGGGAUGCGACCGCUAUCACAUGCAGUCGAGCGGUAACAUUUCUAGCUUGCUAGAAGAUGACGAGCGGCGGACGGGUGAGUAAUGCUUGGGAACAUGCCUUGAGGUGGGGGACAACCAUUGGAAACGAUGGCUAAUACCGCAUAAUGUCUACGGACCAAAGGGGGCUUCGGCUCUCGCCUUUAGAUUGGCCCAAGUGGGAUUAGCUAGUUGGUGAGGUAACGGCUCACCAAGGCGACGAUCCCUAGCUGGUUUGAGAGGAUGAUCAGCCACACUGGAACUGAGACACGGUCCAGACUCCUACGGGAGGCAGCAGUGGGGAAUAUUGCACAAUGGGCGCAAGCCUGAUGCAGCCAUGCCGCGUGUGUGAAGAAGGCCUUAGGGUUGUAAAGCACUUUCAGUCAGGAGGAAAGGUUAGUAGUUAAUACCUGCUAGCUGUGACGUUACUGACAGAAGAAGCACCGGCUAACUCCGUGCCAGCAGCCGCGGUAAUACGGAGGGUGCGAGCGUUAAUCGGAAUUACUGGGCGUAAAGCGUACGCAGGCGGUUUGUUAAGCGAGAUGUGAAAGCCCCGGGCUUAACCUGGGAACUGCAUUUCGAACUGGCAAACUAGAGUGUGAUAGAGGGUGGUAGAAUUUCAGGUGUAGCGGUGAAAUGCGUAGAGAUCUGAAGGAAUACCGAUGGCGAAGGCAGCCACCUGGGUCAACACUGACGCUCAUGUACGAAAGCGUGGGGAGCAAACAGGAUUAGAUACCCUGGUAGUCCACGCCGUAAACGAUGUCUACUAGGAGCUGGGGUCUUCGGACAACUUUUCCAAAGCUAACGCAUUAAGUAGACCGCCUGGGGAGUACGGCCGCAAGGUUAAAACUCAAAUGAAUUGACGGGGGCCCGCACAAGCGGUGGAGCAUGUGGUUUAAUUCGAUGCAACGCGAAGAACCUUACCUACACUUGACAUACAGAGACUUACCAGAGAUGGUUUGGUGCCUUCGGGACUCUGAUACAGGUGCUGCAUGCUGUCGUCAGCUCGUGUGUGAGAUGUUGGGUAGUCCCGCACGAGCGCACCCUAUCUAGUGCAGCGAUCGUCGGACUCUAGAGACUGCGUGAUAACCGAGAAGUUGGACACGUCAGUCAUCAUGGCCCUUACUUUAGCUCACACCUGCUCAUGCAGUACAGGAGACAGCGACAUCGAUUGAGGCGAAUCUAAGCUGACUAUCCGAUGAUGCACUGCAUCUGAGUCGAUCUGUAUCGAUCAAGUGGCGGUUACUCG
This 1266-nucleotide ribosomal RNA is filed under the name Pseudoalteromonas sp. RNAcentral's name for it is "bacterial SSU rRNA". It matches the Rfam family "Bacterial small subunit ribosomal RNA", at positions 38 to 1344 of the family's 1533-position model. Lineage: Bacteria; Pseudomonadati; Pseudomonadota; Gammaproteobacteria; Alteromonadales; Pseudoalteromonadaceae. The record is from RNAcentral.